GAUGAAGAACGUAGCGAAAUGCGAUAAGUAGUGUGAAUUGCAGAAUUCAGUGAGUCAUCGAAUCUUUGAACGCACAUUGCGCCUUCUAGUAUUCUGGGAGGCAUGCCUGUUUGAGCGUCAUUAAACCUCUCUCAAGUAUGAUUACUUGGAUGUGAAGGAAGAGUACCUUAAACUUAAGGAGUGUUCUCCUUUGAAAUUGAUUAGCAGAUGGUAAUGUUAUUAAAUCCCUGAUGUUGUAAGAAAUAACAGUGGUUUUGUAGACUAUUAUCUAGCUUUAAAUUAUAAUUUUUAUUAUGGUUGACCUCAAAUCAGGUAAGGAUACCCGCUGAACUUAAGCAUAUCAAUAAGCGGAGGA
Molecule: unclassified non-coding RNA, 355 nt
Filed under: soil metagenome
Description: partial contains 5.8S ribosomal RNA, internal transcribed spacer 2, and large subunit ribosomal RNA
Rfam family: 5.8S ribosomal RNA (bases 1-120)
Source: RNAcentral